Molecule: ribosomal RNA, 2556 nt
Filed under: Triticum aestivum (bread wheat)
Lineage: Eukaryota; Viridiplantae; Streptophyta; Magnoliopsida; Poales; Poaceae
Description: partial small subunit ribosomal RNA
Source: RNAcentral
AUGGGUAUUGAGGCAAAGCAUGAUACACUAGGCAUCAAGAAUGUUUUGAGGUCCUCGAUCAGAAUAGGCUAUAGAUGUGCCUCUGAACACCGGGCUCUCUUCAGUCUAGCAUUAUUGCUUUACCUGCUGUACAGAUCUUCACCGGGUCUCUUCGCUUUCAUUCUCUCCACUUCCCCUGUAAUUAUAUGCGCCACCCUUCUUCUUGGUAUACUGCUAAGUUACGGGGGCACACAUCUUCCUGAGACUGUUGAAGACCGGAAGACUGACACAGUUUGUUCAGCUCCCAAGUUUGGAUGCUUUUCCAGAAAUAUUCAUUUUGAAGCACACCAGGGAUUUUCUGUGCCUGCAGUUAAUGAGAACAAAGCUGGCUUCAAAUGUUGGGAAUUCAGAAACCCAAGUUUUGGCAAGGAGAGGGAUGAGAUUGUUCCUCUUUUGAAGGGAUCAGUUGAUCAAGGAGAUGAGAGAGUUUAUGCACAUGAUAGACUCGCUGAGGUGUUCACUUCUGUUCCUUCUGUGGUGACACUGCAGCAAGAGGUUGGUUUGGAGGAAUUCAUGAAGACUAAACAUGAGCGGGAGUCCAAAGAUCCAUUUUGCAGCAAUGAUAAGAGUACUGAGUAUGUUAGCUUGUUUGAGGAUGCUGAUCAAAAAAGAGUUGAUGAGAAGGAGGCGACAUCUGAAUUAUGCUCUUUCAGUGAGAAUGAUAGGGAAAAUGGUGAAACGGUGGCAAAGGAAAAUAAAGGUAGAGUGGUAACAGAUUCACAAAGUGAUAAUGUGAGAGAGGCUUCAGAAGAUGAACCAGCUAAAAAACAGGCUGGUACUUGCAAAUGGGGCCGUGCUUUUUCCGUCCGUCAGAGAAAGAAGCUUGAUGGCAUAAAGAUUGAGGCUAUCAAUGUUGAUGUAAGCAGCCAAAUAGAUUCUUCUCUAGUUUCACCAUGUGCAAGAGUUGGCGACCAUGAUGUUUCGUCAGGUUUUGAUUCUGGUAAGCCGGAGAGUUCCUCUUCUGAUAUCACUAUGGUUGAUGUUGCUCCAAUGCUCGAUGAUAUUGAUCCUCCUCUAGGCAAUGAUGAUUCUUUUAAGCUAGAGAGUUCCUCUUGUGAUAUCACUGUGGCUGAUGUUGCUCCAAUGCUUGAUGAGAUUGAUCCUCCUUUAGGCAACGAAUUCCAGAGCCCUGGUCCCAUUGGCAAUGAUGAUUCUGGCCUUUCAUGUCAAAAUAAUCAGGAUCCUCAACUGGAUAGUGGUAAUAACAACAAGCCUGAUACUAGCAAAGAUGAAAAUGAUGCCAAGGAUGGAGAAAAGAAGAAGGAUGAUGGUGGGAACCAACCUGAAUUUCUUGGGACAGCAGACGAAGAUAAGAAUGCCAUGGAUCUUGGGUACUCUGAGGUGGAAAGGAGUCGCAGGUUGGAGUUCAUGAUGGCUAAGAGAAGAUCGAGGAAGAACAUAAUAUUCGAUCUUGAUGGAAAUGAUGCUUGUCAGAGUGCAGAUAGAUUUUCACGUUUCCGCAUGCAAGUUCAGCCUAUUUCGGUAUCAAGGAGAAGCCCUUUUGACCUUGCUUCUGAUCCUGAUGAGGCAGCCAUUCCUGGCUCGGCUCCUUCAAUCAUGCAUCGGCGAAAUAACCUGUUUGAACCCCCUUCUGAACAAUCAGAUGAUAGCAGUGUAUCUGCACAUGAUAACUUGGACUCUCAAGAAAUCAUGACAGGUUCCCGCCGAGACAUGGUCUUCAAGAGGCAUGAUACCUUCAACUUUGGCGGCCAAGAGAGACACCGUUCUCGAUUUAAACCAUGUUUCGUGCUGGAUGCAAUGGAUAUUCAGGAAGAAAGUACGGGCAGUUUCCAGAGGCAGUUCAGUGACAAGAGUGUGUCAAAACUAAGUGCUGUAUCUGAGUGUGAUACCCUUUCUUCGGUUGCUGAUCAAGAGGAAUGCAGCGACCUCGUCAAAAAGGAUUUCCAGAGGUGGUUCAGUGACAAGAGCGUGUCGAGACUGAGCGUUGUUUCUGAAUCUGACACCCUUUCUUUGGUCGCCGAUCAAGAGGAAUGCAACGACCUCGUCAAAAAGGAUUUCCAGAGGUGGUUCAGUGACAAGAGCAUGUCGAGGCUGAGCGUUGUUUCUGGAUCUGACACCCUUUCUUUGGUCGCCGGUCAAGAGGAACGCAGCGACUUCAAUAAGGAUUUCCUCUGGUAUUUCCAGAGGCAGUUCAGUGACAAGAGCAUGUCGAAAGUGACCGUCGUUUCUGAAUCCGAUGCCCUUUCUUUGGUCGCCGAUCAGGAGGAACGCGCCGACUUCAAUAAGGAUUUCCUUUGGUACUUCCAGAGGCAGUUCAGUGACAAGAGUGUGUCGAGGCAGAGCGUUGUUACUGAAUCUGAUAUCAUUUCGUCGGUCGCCGAUCAAGAGGACCGCAGCGACCACGUCAAAAGGGAUUUCCUUUUGGGAGACACAUCGCCAGAGCUGCCAAGGCAGGAAGGUGAUGUCGGAAAUGCUGGAAGCGAAUGCCCAGACUCGGUCGAUUUUGCGGGUGAUGAAACUCUGAAUGCUGCUGUCGCCAGUGGGAUGGGGCUCUGA